AACGAACGCUGGCGGCACGCCUAACACAUGCAAGUCGAGCGCUCACUUCGGUGGGAGCGGCGGACGGGUUAGUAACGCGUGGGAACAUACCCUUCACUAAGGAAUAGCCACUGGAAACGGUGAGUAAUACCUUAUACGCCCUUCGGGGGAAAGAUUUAUCGGUGAAGGAUUGGCCCGCGUUAGAUUAGAUAGUUGGUGGGGUAAUGGCCUACCAAGUCUACGAUCUAUAGCUGGUUUGAGAGGAUGAUCAGCAACACUGGGACUGAGACACGGCCCAG
RNAcentral lists this ribosomal RNA (278 nucleotides) under uncultured bacterium. RNAcentral's name for it is "partial 16S ribosomal RNA". It matches the Rfam family "Bacterial small subunit ribosomal RNA", at positions 29 to 334 of the family's 1533-position model. The record is from RNAcentral.